Molecule: ribosomal RNA, 460 nt
Filed under: uncultured bacterium
Lineage: Bacteria
Description: partial 16S ribosomal RNA
Rfam family: Bacterial small subunit ribosomal RNA
Source: RNAcentral
CCUACGGGAGGCUGCAGUGAGGAAUAUUGGUCAAUGGGCGGAAGCCUGAACCAGCCAAGUAGCGUGCAGGAUGACGGCCCUACGGGUUGUAAACUGCUUUUAUACGGGAAUAACGCGCCUUACGUGUAGGGCUUUGCAUGUACCCUAUGAAUAAGGACCGGCUAAUUCCGUGCCAGCAGCUGCGGUAAUACGGCGGGUCCGGGCGUUAUCCGGAUUUAAUGGGGUUAAAGGGAGCGUCGGCGGCAUGUCAAGCGUGCUGUGAAAGGUCCGGGCCCAACCCGGGCCUUGCAGCGCGACCUGGCGUGCUGGAGUCCGCGGAAAGCAGGCGGAAUGCGGAGUGUAGCGGUGAAAUGCUUAGAUAUGACGAAGAACCCCGAUUGCGAAGGCAGCUUGCUGCAGCGGAACUGACGCUGAUGCUCGAAAGCGCGGGUAUCGAACAGGAUUAGAUACCCCUGUAGUC